ACGUAGGGGGCAAGCGUUGUUCGGAUUUACUGGGCGUAAAGGGCGCGUAGGCGGCAAUUCAAGUCAGCUGUGAAAUCUCCGAGCUUAACUCGGAACGGUCAGCUGAUACUGCUUUGCUAGAGUGCAGAAGGGGCAACUGGAAUCCUCGGUGUAGCGGUGAAAUGUGUAGAGAUCGGGAGGAACACCGGUGGCGAAGGCGGGUCUCUGGGCAUCUCCUGACGCUGAGGCGCGAAAGCGUGGGGAGCAAACGGGA
RNAcentral lists this ribosomal RNA (253 nucleotides) under uncultured prokaryote. RNAcentral's name for it is "partial 16S ribosomal RNA". It matches the Rfam family "Bacterial small subunit ribosomal RNA", at positions 525 to 777 of the family's 1533-position model. The record is from RNAcentral.